This 71-nucleotide transfer RNA is filed under the name Dryadobates bokermanni. Its description in RNAcentral is "Allobatinae sp. b ML-2025 tRNA-Val". It matches the Rfam family "tRNA". From Rfam's summary of the family: Transfer RNA (tRNA) molecules are approximately 80 nucleotides in length. Their secondary structure includes four short double-helical elements and three loops (D, anti-codon, and T loops). RNAcentral also lists the same sequence under 1 other name. The record is from RNAcentral. Lineage: Eukaryota; Metazoa; Chordata; Amphibia; Anura; Aromobatidae.
CAGAGUGUAGCUUAACCCCAAAGUAUUUCGCUUACACCGAAAUUAUAUUUGUGAAAUUCAAAUCUCUCUGA